This 23-nucleotide microRNA is filed under the name Ornithorhynchus anatinus (platypus). Its description in RNAcentral is "oan-miR-7407-3p". The record is from miRBase by way of RNAcentral. Lineage: Eukaryota; Metazoa; Chordata; Mammalia; Monotremata; Ornithorhynchidae.
GUUCUCUGCUCUGUGAAUUUGGG